AUUGAACGCUGGCGGCAUGCCUUACACAUGCAAGUCGAACGGCAGCACGGGUGCUUGCACCUGGUGGCGAGUGGCGAACGGGUGAGUAAUACAUCGGAACAUGUCCUGUAGUGGGGGAUAGCCCGGCGAAAGCCGGAUUAAUACCGCAUACGAUCUACGGAUGAAAGCGGGGGACCUUCGGGCCUCGCGCUAUAGGGUUGGCCGAUGGCUGAUUAGCUAGUUGGUGGGGUAAAGGCCUACCAAGGCGACGAUCAGUAGCUGGUCUGAGAGGACGACCAGCCACACUGGGACUGAGACACGGCCCAGACUCCUACGGGAGGCAGCAGUGGGGAAUUUUGGACAAAGGGCGAAAGCCUGAUCCAGCAAUGCCGCGUGUGUGAAGAAGGCCUUCGGGUUGUAAAGAACUUUUGUCCGGAAAGAAAUCCUUGGCCCUAAUACGGUCGGGGGAUGACGGUACCGGAAGAAUAAGCACCGGCUAACUACGUG
Molecule: ribosomal RNA, 486 nt
Filed under: uncultured bacterium
Lineage: Bacteria
Description: partial 16S ribosomal RNA
Rfam family: Bacterial small subunit ribosomal RNA
Source: RNAcentral